This 319-nucleotide long non-coding RNA is filed under the name Nicotiana benthamiana. Its description in RNAcentral is "long non-coding RNA (NBEN_LNC014743)". Lineage: Eukaryota; Viridiplantae; Streptophyta; Magnoliopsida; Solanales; Solanaceae. The record is from RNAcentral.
UCUAUGCCCAUCCAUCUAGUAGUCAUCCUCAUAAAAGCUGUUGUUUUGAUCUGAAUAAUCUUCUUCUUCUGAGCUCAAGUUGGUAUAAUUCUUCCUUAAAAGUACCUACUGUAGAUUUAACUAGUGAGAGCGAGCACCUGCAUCUCCAGACAAGUAAACAGAGUGCAACUUCAUUUGGAUGGGACAUUAUCAGAUCGAUUUCCCUAUAGAUUUAACUUGUGAGAGUGAGCACCUGCAUCUCCAGACAAGUAAACAGAGUGCAACUUCAUCAGGAUGGGACAUUAUCAGAUCGAUUUCUAAAGCGAUCUCUUGUUAUAUU